RNAcentral lists this ribosomal RNA (253 nucleotides) under uncultured bacterium. RNAcentral describes it as "partial 16S ribosomal RNA". It matches the Rfam family "Bacterial small subunit ribosomal RNA", at positions 524 to 776 of the family's 1533-position model. The record is from RNAcentral.
UAUGAGGGGGGCGAGCGUUGUUCGGAAUUACUGGGCGUAAAGGGCGCGUAGGCGGCCUCGUCCGUCCGGCGUGAAAUGCCUGGGCUCAACCUAGGAAUUGCGCUCGAUACAGCGAGGCUAGAGUGUGGGAGAGGUUGGUGGAAUUCCCAGUGUAGAGGUGAAAUUCGUAGAUAUUGGGAAGAACACCGGUGGCGAAGGCGGCCAACUGGACCACAACUGACGCUGAGGCGCGAAAGCGUGGGGAGCGAACAGG